AUGACCUGAGCCGAAAUCAGACGCUCAACCGACUGAGCCACCCAGGCGCCCCGGAAAAUGCCAUCUUUUGACGUAACCAUAAAGUGUGGGUGUAUUUUGGGAGUUCUGCGUUCUUCCCCGGGGAUCUGUGCUCCUGUCCCUCCAUCAGUAGCCCACUGUCUUGAAGAUUGUAGCUGUCAGUAAUCUUUCUGAUCAGGUAGAGUGAGAAUAUCGAGUCUUUCGACCGUGACCUGACUCAGUUUACCGUUCCCGCUAACGGGUCUGAUCUGUCUGAUCUCACGCCUGCCCCUGAGACCAGCUCUUCCUGUGGGAUUUACUUCCGUUCCUUCCUCUUCUGUGAAGCCUUUCUUGGUUCCCGCUGCCUCUUUUGAAACUUAAAGGUGAGGGUUCCUUCCCUCUUGAAUGCCCUGCGCUCUGUAUCUGUGUCAUUCACUUGGACUUUCACACGUAAUCCCUUCUCUGUGCUCGCAUUCCCGAGGAGCGCUCUCGCCUUCUUGGUGUGGUGGAUUCCAGGUACCAGACGCCCAGGGUCCGGGAUGCAGUAGGUCCUUGGCGAAUGAUUCGUUGUCGGAGAGAAAGGCUAAACCAGACUCCACUCCUACUUCAGGAAGGCAUACGUGCGCGGUCGUAAGGGGGCAAAAGUACGCACGUUCCUUUCGUUGCUGGUUUGCCAGGAGGUCCCUGACACCACAUUGGUGCAAAGCGAAGCCUUCCCGGAUCGACAAGCUGAUCCAGGCUCUCUCUGUGUGUUUCAGGUUGGUUUAUUUAUUUUGAGACCCCGAGAGAGGGUACGAGCCCGGGAGGAGCGGAGAGAGAAUCGCAAGCCGGCCCCUCGCUGUCGGCGCGGGGCUUGAACCCCGGACCGUGAGAUCGUGACCUGAGCCGAAAUCAAGAGCGGGACGCUUCACCGACUGAGCCGCCCAGAUGCCUCUCGGGGCUCUGGGCUUAAGCAGGACCUGGAGUGGUUGUAAUAAUUAUUGGUAGCACCCAGCUGCAUAACAAAUGACCCCCAAAUCCCCGUGGCUUACCACAAACCCUGAUGCCUCACCCUUGGAUGCUUGUGGCUUCUCGGCUGCAGCCUAGGGGUUGGAUUGAGGUCAGCUCCAUGCAUCUCUCAUUCCAGAGUCCCACGCGAAGCUGCAGCAGCUACCUGGAGGCACGUUCAUUCUCCUGGCGACGGCAGGGGUUCGGGAGGCCAGGCCCAAACGAGGAAGCGCGUUUGAAAACCUCCGACUGGAUCCUGUUGACUUCGGUUCCAUCGACCAAAGUUCUCCUCACUGCUCCUCCUGGGAACAGAGUCUGGGGGGAGCCAGUGUGUUCCAGAAGAGUCAGCACAGUCCGAGGGAGAGAUCGGCCCUCUGGCAGCAGCCAGCCGAUGAGAACCAAUUAUACACAUCUCUUCCCAACUCUGCAGCGGGUGAUGUCAAGUCGAGAGCUUGAAAUCUGACCACACUGGGAGUAUUUACACCACAGGAAUCGGCGAGCGCUACAGACGGGCCUUCCCCAUCCCGGGAGAGCCAGUUGUUAAAUAUUUACCAGCACACCGCUGCUGCUGAGGGACAGGUCUGUGCCAUCAGAACCUUAGAAGUGCCUUUCUCGAGAUUUCUUGGAAAUCUCCUCCCUGCCAGGGAGGGAGGGAAGUGACCGAAUCUGUAGGAGGCCGGUCCUAUCUAGCGCUUUCUAUUGAGCACAUGAUUGUCAUUCAUCACCUGAAAAGGUUAUAAAUCUCCCCGGUGUUGAAGAGCUCCAGAAUGAAUGAAAUGGAAUUAAAUGUCCAGGCACGCACAAGCUCACGCCUGGCACGGAGCCAACACGGGGCUUGAACUCACAACCCGGAGAUGAAGACCUGAGCUGAGAUCAGGAGUCGGACGCUUAACCGACUGAGCCGCCCAGGUGCCCGUCCUGUAUUUUCAUUCAGCAGAUCUCUUUCGAGCGCCCGACUUGUGCAGGGCACCGUGCCCCCAUGACUCCCUAGGCCCCAGCGCGGGCGGCCUUGCCCAGUUGUGGCUUCUGGUCUCACCUACGUGAUCUGCGACGACCUGAGGGCAGGAUUUGGGUCGUCUACUCCCCGAUCCCCUGCCCUACCCUCACAAAGCCCAUCAUUAAUUCCUGCGGGAGCUGCCACGGCGGCCCCCCCCGCCCCCGCCAUCCUUUGGCAUGGUGUUGGCAAUCUCUUAAGG
Herpailurus yagouaroundi (jaguarundi) is the source of this 2180-nucleotide long non-coding RNA. RefSeq lists it as uncharacterized. The transcript has 2 exons. The record is from RefSeq and is a predicted model, not a curated record. NCBI's taxonomy places the organism in Eukaryota, Metazoa, Chordata, Mammalia, Carnivora, Felidae.